CACCGGCGGCCCGAGUGGUAACCGUUUUAUUGCGUCUAAAGGGUCUGUAGCCGGCCAAGUAAGUCCUUUGGGAAAUCUGGUAGCUCAACUAUCAGGCUGCCAGGGGAUACUGCUUGGCUUGGGACCGGGAGAGGUGAGAGGUACCUCGGGGGUAGGGUGAAAUCUUGUGAUCCUCGAGGGACCACCAGUGGCGAAGGCGUCUCACCAGAACGGGUCCGAUGGUAAGGGACGAAAGCUAGGGGCACGAACCGGAUUAGAUACCCGGGUAGUCCUAGCCGUAAACGAUGCUCGCUAGGUGUCAGUCACGGUGCGACCGUGAUUGGUGCCGUAGGGAAGCCGUGAAGCGAGCCACCUGGGAAGUAUGGCCGCAAGGCUGAAACUUAAAGGAAUUGGCGGGGGAGCACUACAACGGGCGGAGCCUGCGGUUC
RNAcentral lists this ribosomal RNA (428 nucleotides) under uncultured archaeon. RNAcentral describes it as "bacterial SSU rRNA". It matches the Rfam family "Archaeal small subunit ribosomal RNA", at positions 474 to 903 of the family's 1478-position model. The record is from RNAcentral.